Molecule: long non-coding RNA, 154 nt
Organism: Cervus elaphus (red deer)
Lineage: Eukaryota; Metazoa; Chordata; Mammalia; Artiodactyla; Cervidae
Exons: 3
Source: RefSeq, a predicted model, not a curated record
UAGUCAAUAAAGCAGAAAUAGAUGUUUUUCUGGAACUCUUGCUUUUUCGAUAAUCCAACGGAUAUUGGCAAUUUGAUCUCUGGUUCCUCUGCCUUUUCUAAAACCAUCUUGAACAUCUCAAAGUUCACAGAUCACGUACUGCUGAAGCCUGACU